RNAcentral lists this ribosomal RNA (1013 nucleotides) under Vibrio parahaemolyticus. RNAcentral's name for it is "partial 23S ribosomal RNA". It matches the Rfam family "Bacterial large subunit ribosomal RNA", at positions 1918 to 2925 of the family's 2925-position model. The record is from RNAcentral. Lineage: Bacteria; Pseudomonadati; Pseudomonadota; Gammaproteobacteria; Vibrionales; Vibrionaceae. RNAcentral also lists the same sequence under 1 other name.
CCCCGGUAAACGGCGGCCGUAACUAUAACGGUCCUAAGGUAGCGAAAUUCCUUGUCGGGUAAGUUCCGACCUGCACGAAUGGCGUAAUGAUGGCCACGCUGUCUCCACCCGAGACUCAGUGAAAUUGAAAUCGCUGUGAAGAUGCAGUGUACCCGCGGCUAGACGGAAAGACCCCGUGAACCUUUACUACAGCUUGGCACUGAACAUUGACCCUACAUGUGUAGGAUAGGUGGGAGGCUUUGAAGCACGUACGCCAGUAUGUGUGGAGCCGUCCUUGAAAUACCACCCUUGUAGUGUUGAUGUUCUAACGUCGACCCCUUAUCGGGGUUGCGGACAGUGCCUGGUGGGUAGUUUGACUGGGGCGGUCUCCUCCCAAAGAGUAACGGAGGAGCACGAAGGUGGGCUAAUCACGGUUGGACAUCGUGAGGUUAGUGCAAUGGCAUAAGCCCGCUUGACUGCGAGAAUGACAAUUCGAGCAGGUGCGAAAGCAGGUCAUAGUGAUCCGGUGGUUCUGAAUGGAAGGGCCAUCGCUCAACGGAUAAAAGGUACUCCGGGGAUAACAGGCUGAUACCGCCCAAGAGUUCAUAUCGACGGCGGUGUUUGGCACCUCGAUGUCGGCUCAUCACAUCCUGGGGCUGAAGUCGGUCCCAAGGGUAUGGCUGUUCGCCAUUUAAAGUGGUACGCGAGCUGGGUUUAGAACGUCGUGAGACAGUUCGGUCCCUAUCUGCCGUGGGCGUUGGAAGAUUGAAGGGGGCUGCUCCUAGUACGAGAGGACCGGAGUGGACGAACCUCUGGUGUUCGGGUUGUGUCGCCAGACGCAUUGCCCGGUAGCUAAGUUCGGAAUCGAUAACCGCUGAAAGCAUCUAAGCGGGAAGCGAGCCCUGAGAUGAGUCUUCCCUGAUACUUUAAGUAUCCUAAAGGGUUGUCGGAGACUACGACGUUGAUAGGUCAGGUGUGUAAGUGCUGUGAGGCAUUGAGCUAACUGAUACUAAUUGCCCGUGAGGCUUAACCAU